CAGCAGCCGCGGGAAUACGUAGGGUGCAAGCGUUAAUCGGAAUUACUGGGCGUAAAGCGUGCGCAGGCGGUUUGGUAAGUCCGUUGUGAAAGCCCUGGGCUCAACCUGGGAAUUGCAGUGGAUACUGGGUCACUAGAGUGUGGUAGAGGAUAGUGGAAUUUCCGGUGUAGCAGUGAAAUGCGUAGAGAUCGGAAGGAACAUCUGUGGCGAAGGCGACUAUCUGGGCCAACACUGACACUGAGGCACGAAAGCGUGGGGAGCAAACAGGAUUAGAUACCCCCGUAGUCCCUGUCUCUUAUAC
RNAcentral lists this ribosomal RNA (301 nucleotides) under uncultured bacterium. RNAcentral describes it as "partial 16S ribosomal RNA". It matches the Rfam family "Bacterial small subunit ribosomal RNA", at positions 509 to 807 of the family's 1533-position model. The record is from RNAcentral.